CUCUUAUCUCUUUUCCUUCUCUUUCCCUCUCUAGACAAAGAAAGGCUUGAAGCUUGUGUUGACAGCCUUGGAGGAUUUGUGGGCUGAUGAAGAAACCUGAGCCAAGUAUAUUAUUCCUGCUGAUCGGAGUUACUACAAGACCUGGAACAACAACUAAUCAAGGACUUGAGAACUGAAGUCUUGUUGUUGUUGCUACCGAAAGGAAGGAAGGGACCAGUUGAUGCAGUAAGCAAGCAAUUUAGCAUCUGAUCAAGCUAGUAGUAGCAGAAUUGAAGUUGUGGGUUGUUGGAGCAGCAAGCUUGUGCUGUUGGUGUUGUUGGUGUUGCCGAAAUUCAGGAUUGAGCCACACGAUGCAGUGAACUAGUAAAUUCAGCAGCAAACUAAGGUAAGCUCAUUCCAUAUUGGUUUAUAGUCC
Long non-coding RNA from Ananas comosus (pineapple), 415 nucleotides. RefSeq lists it as uncharacterized. Lineage: Eukaryota; Viridiplantae; Streptophyta; Magnoliopsida; Poales; Bromeliaceae. The transcript has 3 exons. The record is from RefSeq and is a predicted model, not a curated record.